This 448-nucleotide ribosomal RNA is filed under the name uncultured Sphingobacteriales bacterium. Its description in RNAcentral is "bacterial SSU rRNA". It matches the Rfam family "Bacterial small subunit ribosomal RNA", at positions 933 to 1382 of the family's 1533-position model. The record is from RNAcentral. Lineage: Bacteria; Pseudomonadati; Bacteroidota; Sphingobacteriia; Sphingobacteriales.
AGGAGCAUGUGGUUAAUUCGAUGAUACGCGAGGAACCUUACCUGGGCUCGAACGUAAGAUGACUGUAGGUGAAAGCUUACAUCUCUUCGGAGCAUUUUACGAGGUGCUGCAUGGUUGUCGUCAGCUCGUGCCGUGAGGUGUCGGGUUAAGUCCCAUAACGAGCGCAACCCCUACCUUUAGUUGCCAUCAGGUAAUGCUGGGGACUCUAAAGGAACUGCCUACGCAAGUAGUGAGGAAGGCGGGGAUGACGUCAAAUCAGCACGGCCCUUACGUCCAGGGCUACACACGUGCUACAAUGGCCGAUACAGAGGGCAGCUACCUGGUGACAGGAUGCAAAUCUCCAAAGUCGGUCUCAGUUCGGAUCGGAGUCUGCAACCCGACUCCGUGAAGUUGGAUUCGCUAGUAAUCGCGCAUCAGCCAUGGCGCGGUGAAUACGUUCCCGGGCCUU